This 199-nucleotide ribosomal RNA is filed under the name uncultured bacterium. RNAcentral's name for it is "partial 16S ribosomal RNA". It matches the Rfam family "Bacterial small subunit ribosomal RNA", at positions 1303 to 1500 of the family's 1533-position model. The record is from RNAcentral.
GGCUGAAAUUAGCCUUCCAUGAAGCUGGAAUUGCUGUAAUGGCAGGUCAGCAUACUGCCGUGAAUACGUUCCCGGGCCCUUGUACACACCGCCCGUCACACCAUGAGAGUUGGGAAUACCCGAAGCCUGUGAGCUAACAUUUAUGAGGCAGCAGUCGAAGGUAGAAUCAAUGAUUGGGGUGAAGUCGUAACAAGGUAGC